This is a long non-coding RNA of Labrus mixtus (cuckoo wrasse), 457 nucleotides long. RefSeq lists it as uncharacterized. The record is from RefSeq and is a predicted model, not a curated record. NCBI's taxonomy places the organism in Eukaryota, Metazoa, Chordata, Actinopteri, Labriformes, Labridae. The transcript has 3 exons.
AGAUGAGGGACAUGUACAUGUGAGGGACAGGUACAGGUGAGGGACAUGUAGAGGUGAGGGACAGGUACAGAUGAGGGACAUGUACAUGUGAGUGACAGGUACAGGUGAGGGACAGGUACAUGUGAGGGACAUGUACAGAUGAGGGACAUGUACAUGUGAGGGACAGGUACAGAUGAGGGACAUGUACAUGUGAGGGACAGGUACAGGUGAGGGACAUGUACAGGUGAGGGACAUGUACAGAUGAGGGACAUGUACAGAUGAGGGACAGGUACAGGUGAGGGACAGGUACAUGUGAGGGACAGGUACAUGUGAGGGACAGGUACAGACAUUUUGGAGUUCUACAUUGUUGAAACCAGAAGCAGCACUGAAGCCAGCAGGGUCCUGACCUCCAUGAAGACCUGUAUAAAGGAGCAAUAUGUAACUCUGACACCUAGUGUUUAAAAUGGGUACUGCAGUC